Chelonus insularis is the source of this 774-nucleotide long non-coding RNA. RefSeq lists it as uncharacterized. The record is from RefSeq and is a predicted model, not a curated record. The transcript has 3 exons. Lineage: Eukaryota; Metazoa; Arthropoda; Insecta; Hymenoptera; Braconidae.
UUUGUUCCGUUAUCACAAAAAAUUAGAUUUCUCGAAAGUGUGGAUCAUGUUUUGUGCAAAAAGUUCUCUGAAUCGGAUAAUUCUUUUUUCUCUUUACUAAUAAAUAUUGCGAAUAUUUUUUCUAAAGAAAGAGGUGUGAUAAUUAUAAUUCAACGAAGUGCAACAAUUUUUUAGAAAUAUUGAUAAAAAAUGUCAUCUUAAUUAAAAACGGUGAAAUACCUUAAGUAUUGCAUAAUUAUUAAUUUUAUGCAGAUCGUGUCAAAAAUUCAAUAAAAAUUUGCUCACCGGUCCAAUCAAGGUAUAUUUGAUGAAUAUUUGGAUCAUUUGGAGGAUCCAAAACAAAGAGAUCUAAUCUCGAUAUUUAGACAAACCUUCAUAAACCAGGAAAAAAUGAACUUACGAUAAGAAUAGCUGUAUAGGAGCUUAUCAUUCCAAUCACCAAGCUACAUGUUAAGGCCGUUACAUAGCCAGCCAGUCUGAAUGCAUGUGGAAGAAAAAGUAUGCCGCUGCCAACUGCGGCCUUCAGUAAGUGCAUAAACACCACCAAGUCACUAUAAUCGAAGGAUAAUAAAGAUCAGUAAUGUUUUGAAAUUUUCAUUUUUAACAUCUUUCAAUGUAACUUAAUAUGAUAAUUGAUACUGUGAUGUAAAUAAUAGAAAAUUUAUCAGUUUCAUAAAUCUUCUAUUGAGAUAGCUAAUUAAUAUUUUAUUACUAAUCCAAUGAAAUAAAUUUCAUUGAACAAAUACCAAUUGAAAUUUAUUGGAAAUAAAAAUA